AGCUAUCUUGCACAUCUGUCUGAACAGGCCUCGAACACUUCACUGCGCGGGUACCCCAUAGCAGCUUGUCCACUACUUCUGCCCGUAGAGACAGACGCUAUCCCUAAAUGUCCUUAAGAGGAAGUAGCUGUUGAUUUAGUGCGGUGGGACUGUAAGGGUGUAUGUGGUGUAUCACGGUCGAUAUCGUCAAUCUCUUGGUGAAGGAAGGUCGGGGUGGUCUGGUCGAUUGUCUGAUCAACUGUCUUUUGUAGGCAUUUCUUAAGACAGGGUAACACACAACAAACAAGAAGAGCGAGGAUGAUUAUCGUUAUUAAAAUGGCAACACCUAUUUGGGCCAGAGCACCUUGCCAUCCAGACAUCCAUCCAAACCAUCUUUCCCAUGGAUCUGCGGCCCCAGAAUUUCGUUUCAUCUCAUUGGACAAACUCUUUAACUUUUCUAUUGCCAACGUUACCUUACCAUUAGGGCCUGUAUUAUCUGGAAUAUAGGUACAGCAUGUUAUGGUGUCUGGGAGUAUUUUACAUACUCUCCCUUUUUCUGCCAAAAUCAUUUUUAAGCUUAUUCUAUUCUGGAAGGUCAUCUGAGAGGUAGCUUGUAACCGCCCUAUCCCACCAUAUAUCCCAUAACAAGUAUAGUUCCCAGGAUAUAUAGUAAUGCCUUCGUUUGGGCAUAAUAUUUUUAGUAAUGAUUGGGUAUUAAGUUUCCAUGACUCGCAUGCUGACCGCUUAGGUUUAAAUACAGUGUAGAGACUUAAAACGCAUACUUCAUAUCCGGAGGAAGGUUCAGGGAUACUGUACCUGGGUGAGGCCUCGCUCCUCUGCAGACAUAGCAGUUAGACUUGUUAUGUCUAUCAUCCAUUCAAGUCACAAGUUAGUGUCAGAGAAACCUGUCUCUACAGCCCUGUUAUCCUCAAAUAUGGGAUGACUACCAUGUCUUUUAAAGUCCUAAUGUGUGGUUUGAGGGGAUUAACAGUCAUAUGCGUGGCACCUACCCAUUCAGCUGAGUCAUACAUGUCCUGUAAGAAAAAGGUCUCCUGUUUAUUGUAUAAACCUCUUCCCUUCCAAUUCAGAUUUUAUUAGCCGUAAUGCUUGGAAGAAUAGAUUCAAACUUAGUUUCUUACCUUAAAAUCAUUUGGUACCCCCCUUGACACCCCUAUGGCAUUAAUAUACAUAUAUAUAUAUAUAUAUAUAUAUAUAUGUGUGGGUAAAACCACCCUUUAUAGGGGUACUCCUUUUUUGUCCUGAAGCAUGAAUGAGGUGUGUCAAGAGUACCUUGGGGAUUGUCAUGUGUU
Molecule: non-coding RNA, 1289 nt
Organism: Pelobates cultripes (western spadefoot toad)
Lineage: Eukaryota; Metazoa; Chordata; Amphibia; Anura; Pelobatidae
Source: the annotation of a GenBank genome assembly